Molecule: ribosomal RNA, 765 nt
Filed under: uncultured Streptococcus sp.
Lineage: Bacteria; Bacillati; Bacillota; Bacilli; Lactobacillales; Streptococcaceae
Description: bacterial SSU rRNA
Rfam family: Bacterial small subunit ribosomal RNA
Source: RNAcentral
GAUGAACGCUGGCGGCGUGCCUAAUACAUGCAAGUAGAACGCUGAAGCUUGGUGCUUGCACCGAGCGGAUGAGUUGCGAACGGGUGAGUAACGCGUAGGUAACCUGCCUCUUAGCGGGGGAUAACUAUUGGAAACGAUAGCUAAUACCGCAUAAAAGUCGAUAUCGCAUGAUAUUGAUUUGAAAGGUGCAAUUGCAUCACUAAGAGAUGGACCUGCGUUGUAUUAGCUAGUUGGUGAGGUAACGGCUCACCAAGGCGACGAUACAUAGCCGACCUGAGAGGGUGAUCGGCCACACUGGGACUGAGACACGGCCCAGACUCCUACGGGAGGCAGCAGUAGGGAAUCUUCGGCAAUGGGGGCAACCCUGACCGAGCAACGCCGCGUGAGUGAAGAAGGUUUUCGGAUCGUAAAGCUCUGUUGUAAGAGAAGAACGAGUGUGAGAGUGGAAAGUUCACACUGUGACGGUAACUUACCAGAAAGGGACGGCUAACUACGUGCCAGCAGCCGCGGUAAUACGUAGGUCCCGAGCGUUAUCCGGAUUUAUUGGGCGUAAGGCGAGCGCAGGCGGUUAGAUAAGUCUGAAGUUAAAGGCUGUGGCUUAACCAUAGUACGCUUUGGAAACUGUUUAACUUGAGUGCAGAAGGGGAGAGUGGAAUUCCAUGUGUAGCGGUGAAAUGCGUAGAUAUAUGGAGGAACACCGGUGGCGAAAGCGGCUCUCUGGUCUGUAACUGACGCUGAGGCUCGAAAGCGUGGGGAGCAAACAGG